GAAACUGCCUGAUGGAGGGGGAUAACUACUGGAAACGGUAGCUAAUACCGCAUAACGUCGCAAGACCAAAGAGGGGGACCUUAGGGCCUCUUGCCAUCGGAUGUGCCCAGAUGGGAUUAGCUAGUAGGUGGGGUAACGGCUCACCUAGGCGACGAUCCCUAGCUGGUCUGAGAGGAUGACCAGCCACACUGGAACUGAGACACGGUCCAGACUCCUACG
RNAcentral lists this ribosomal RNA (219 nucleotides) under Escherichia coli. RNAcentral describes it as "partial 16S ribosomal RNA". It matches the Rfam family "Bacterial small subunit ribosomal RNA", at positions 122 to 343 of the family's 1533-position model. Lineage: Bacteria; Pseudomonadati; Pseudomonadota; Gammaproteobacteria; Enterobacterales; Enterobacteriaceae. The record is from RNAcentral.